GAUCCUGGCUCAGGACGAACGCUGGCGGCGCGCCUAACACAUGCAAGUCGAACGAGCGAGAGAGAGCUUGCUUUCUUGAGCGAGUGGCGAACGGGUGAGUAACGCGUGAGGAACCUGCCUCAAAGAGGGGGACAACAGUUGGAAACGACUGCUAAUACCGCAUAAGCCCACAGGUCGGCAUCGACCAGAGGGAAAAGGAGCAAUCCGCUUUGAGAUGGCCUAGCGUCCGAUUAG
Molecule: ribosomal RNA, 234 nt
Filed under: uncultured bacterium
Lineage: Bacteria
Description: partial 16S ribosomal RNA
Rfam family: Bacterial small subunit ribosomal RNA
Source: RNAcentral